AGGUGCGAUCAUACCAGCACUAAUGCACCGGAUCCCACCAGUACUCCGUAGGUAAGCGUGCUUGGGUGAGAGUAGUACUAGGAUGGGUGACUUCCUGGGAAGUCCUCGUGUUGCACUUC
This 119-nucleotide ribosomal RNA is filed under the name Phaseolus vulgaris (common bean). Lineage: Eukaryota; Viridiplantae; Streptophyta; Magnoliopsida; Fabales; Fabaceae. The record is from RNAcentral.